Molecule: ribosomal RNA, 502 nt
Filed under: uncultured Glomus
Lineage: Eukaryota; Fungi; Glomeromycota; Glomeromycetes; Glomerales; Glomeraceae
Description: SSU rRNA
Rfam family: Eukaryotic small subunit ribosomal RNA
Source: RNAcentral
AGCAGCCGCGGUAAUUCCAGCUCCAAUAGCGUAUAUUAAAGUUGCUGCAGUUAAAAAGCUCGUAGUUGAAUUUCGGGACCAUCAUGUCGGUCGUGCCUCGGUACGUACUAGCAUUAUUGGUUUCUCCCUUCUGACGAACCACGAUGUCAUUAAUUUGGUGUCAUGGGAAAUCAGGACUGUUACUUUGAAAAAAUUAGAGUGUUUAAAGCAAGCUCGCGCUUGAAUACAUUAGCAUGGAAUAAUGAAAUAGGACGUUUGAUUCUAUUUUGUUGGUUUCUAGGAUCGACGUAAUGAUUAAUAGGGAUAGUUGGGGGCAUUAGUAUUCAAUUGUCAGAGGUGAAAUUCUUGGAUUUAUUGAAGACUAACUACUGCGAAAGCAUUUGCCAAGGAUGUUUUCAUUAAUCAAGAACGAAAGUUAGGGGAUCGAAGACGAUCAGAUACCGUCGUAGUCUUAACCAUAAACUAUGCCGACUAGGGAUCGGAUGAUGUUAAUUUUUAAUGA